GCCGGGUGUGGUGGUGUGUGCCUGUAAUCCUAGCUACUUGGGAGGCUGAGGCAGGAGAAUUGCUUGAACCCAGGAGGUGGAGGCUGCAGUGAGCCGAGAUCACAUUACUGCACUCCAGCCUGGGCGACAGAGCAAGACUCUGUCUCAA
Molecule: non-coding RNA, 148 nt
Filed under: Pan troglodytes (chimpanzee)
Lineage: Eukaryota; Metazoa; Chordata; Mammalia; Primates; Hominidae
Source: Rfam by way of RNAcentral